Macaca mulatta (Rhesus monkey) is the source of this 52-nucleotide non-coding RNA. The record is from Rfam. NCBI's taxonomy places the organism in Eukaryota, Metazoa, Chordata, Mammalia, Primates, Cercopithecidae.
UUUUCAGUAUAAGUAUGUCCCACGUAAUAUUUGGGACAUAAUUAUAGUAAAU